This 395-nucleotide ribosomal RNA is filed under the name uncultured bacterium. RNAcentral's name for it is "bacterial SSU rRNA". It matches the Rfam family "Bacterial small subunit ribosomal RNA", at positions 28 to 426 of the family's 1533-position model. The record is from RNAcentral.
GACGAACGCUGGCGGCGUGCUUAACACAUGCAAGUCGAGCGGUAAGGCCCUUUCGGGGGUACACGAGCGGCGAACGGGUGAGUAACACGUGGGUGACCUGCCCUCAGCUCUGGGAUAAGCCUGGGAAACCGGGUCUAAUACUGGAUAUGACUCCAUGACGCAUGUUGUGGGGUGGAAAGCCUUGUGCGGCUGAGGAUGGGCCCGCGGCCUAUCAGCUUGUUGGUGGGGUGANGGCCUACCAAGGCGACGACGGGUAGCCGGCCUGAGAGGGCGACCGGCCACACUGGGACUGAGACACGGCCCAGACUCCUACGGGAGGCAGCAGUGGGGAAUCUUGCGCAAUGGGCGAAAGCCUGACGCAGCGACGCCGCGUGAGGGAUGACGGCCUCGGUUGU